CUGCUGCCUCCCGUAGGAGUUUGGGCCGUGUCUCAGUCCCAAUGUGGCCGUCCACCCUCUCAGGCCGGCUACUGAUCGUCGCCUUGGUGGGCCGUUACCCCGCCAACAAGCUAAUCAGACACGGGUCCAUCUUACACCACCGGAGUUUUUCACACAAAUCCAUGCGGCUUCGUGCGCUUAUGCGGUAUUAGCACCUAUUUCUAAGUGUUAUCCCCCAGUGUAAGGCAGGUUACCCACGCGUUACUCACCCGUCCGCCGGUCGCCGG
This 266-nucleotide ribosomal RNA is filed under the name uncultured bacterium. RNAcentral describes it as "partial 16S ribosomal RNA". The record is from RNAcentral.